AGCAUUAUAGAGUGAGGUUUUUAAACUUAAUAUCUGACACUAUAGAGAGAUAAUUCAUGGGUAAGAAGAAUAGAAAGCCAAUUGCAAACUGGUAUUUCAAAAGUUAAGUCUCUACUACAGAUUCUCUACUACAGAUUUAAAAGUGGGAAUUUUGCGCACUUUGAUCAAUCAGAGAUUUAGAAAUCUACUCUUGCUACGCUAAAGCAUGGAAGUUCCAUGAGGUUCCAUGCCUACCUCAUUCCUUCCCCUUUCAUUCUUACCCCUUUUCAUUAGCAAUAGAGCGCCCAUAUAAGUACCCCCUUGAACCCCCGCCUGUAUCUUAGAAAAGCAAACCUAAAUUGAAUCAAAUCAUACACAUACUAGACAUUUCAAAGGGGAUUAUCUCAACAAUUGAUAGCAUGUCUGUAUUGAACACUGAGCUAUCCACAUUCUCAAUCCUCCUCCACUGACUGAGACUCUGUCAGUAAGAGCUAUAGUUACUCUAUAGCUGCAUUAUCAAGCAUAAACAUUCAGCUUGAGACAGUCUUUUCCACUCUUCUAUCAUCAGUUUCUUCAUCAGUUAUACUCAAUAGUAUAGCCCGCGUGGCACAGUUGCCACUUCUUACCCAUGAAGGCCCCUGUGACCAGGGGCCAAGCCUAGUGAGGCAGUGCUGACAGGGGUGCUGCUUGGCAGUGAUGGGGGUGGUGGCUGCUGGAAGCUGCCCUCAUUAGUGUCAAGCAGCUCUCCUGUCACUAGUGCUGAGCUAAGCAAGAUCCAAUGAUUACAGAGAGUUGAGUAUAGGGUGCUUAUACACACUAGCACCUGCCAAGGCCCCCGGCAACUAAGGGGCCACCCCAACAACAGGAAAUGAUUUUAAAAACCAUCUGAUUGACUGCCUCAUCAGAGACAAGUCAAGCAGAACAUCCUGAUAGACACCCUAUCCCCAGGGCCCACUAGUGGUCAUCUAAUACUAUUAGUGGGUAAAACAUCAGAAGGGGUAAGUCUAUGGUUAGUUCCUUACACAGAGCAAGGCCACAACAGCUGGUUGGUAGACCAAGGGGGCAAUGGACUGAGAUCAGCAACUGGAAGCUCUAGAUGGUGAUGCUUAGAAUGAGUGGUGGUGCUUAACUAGAACCCCCAGCUGAAAGCCCCAGAACUAGUUAAAGCGGCCUGAGAGAACAGACACAGUGGUCAGUUGGUUAUAGAGAUAUAUGUAACUAGCUUAAGAUGCAUCCUGUGUGUAUGUAUGUAUGUAUUGAUUUAGCGUCCUGAGGGAGCACAGGCAGCACCUGUGCCUUGAGGGCCUCCCAAAGGGCAUGGGGACAUGCUAUGCUGGAGAAAUUUCUAUAUACAUAUAGAAAGAAGAGAAACAGAAUUCAGAUGACAACUCUUGAGAAGAUUCAGCUCAUUAAGCUGCUCAUCCACUGCUGGCCCAAUGUAUGAUCAUUCAUGAUAAGACUAUAAGAUGACUUUCUAGAUAAGAUCACUGCUGCUAUAUCUGAAAGACUUUAUAAUUAAUGAAGAGAAAGACUAUUUUCUUGAUUUAUUGAGAGACUCAGUAGCACUCAUUGUGAAAGAAGAAGUAGACAAAGAAAAUUAGAAAAGAAGAAAUCUAAGAAGAAAAGAUAAAUAUAGUAUAAUUCAGUUAUAUGAUUCUUCAAUUGAGAGUCAGACAGCUGAAAGAAGAAAAGAAAAACAAAUCAAUAUAAAAGAAAGAGAAAAGAGAAGAAAAGACUGAGAAGAAAAAGAUUAUCACAAAGAAAACAGAGAGC
This 1752-nucleotide small RNA is filed under the name Histoplasma capsulatum var. duboisii H88. RNAcentral's name for it is "Histoplasma capsulatum H88 hypothetical RNA". The record is from RNAcentral. Lineage: Eukaryota; Fungi; Ascomycota; Eurotiomycetes; Onygenales; Ajellomycetaceae.